CUACGGAGGGUGCAAGCGUUGUUCGGAAUCACUGGGCGUAAAGGGCGCGCAGGCGGUUUGGUAAGUCAGAUGUGAAAGCCCACGGCUCAACCGUGGAAGUGCAUUUGAAACUGCCAGACUUGAGUACCAGAGGGGAAAGUGGAAUUCCCGGUGUAGAGGUGAAAUUCGUAGAUAUCGGGAGGAAUACCGGUGGCGAAGGCGACUUUCUGGCUGGAUACUGACGCUGAGGCGCGAAAGCGUGGGGAGCAAACAGGAUUAGAAACCCUUGUAGUCC
This 274-nucleotide ribosomal RNA is filed under the name uncultured bacterium. RNAcentral describes it as "partial 16S ribosomal RNA". It matches the Rfam family "Bacterial small subunit ribosomal RNA", at positions 523 to 796 of the family's 1533-position model. The record is from RNAcentral.